CAACCCUCUCCCUUAAGGCACUUCAGCUAAUUGCUUUCUCAUUUGGUGAUAGGAAUGAGUGAAAACUAGAGAGAAGAGUAAGAGAGAAGUUAGAGAGAAAGAGAGAACAUCAUCUUAAUCUUUUCAUCUUUUCUUCUCACAAAAACUGAAUCUUGACCUUGAUCACCUCUAAACACCAUCAAGAACUCAUCUUUUGUCUUUCGUUCCUUCACAAAAUAGUUAGCAUUCAAGGUGAAGAACACCUUGUUGAUUUCGUUAUGAGGAGCUAAAGCUUGGAAGGAAAGCGUUCAAGGUAAGGGCACUUCGGGUCUUGGACUUUAGCGUGCAAAAUUGUCUACUAAGAUUGUAUGAAACUUGUAUGAUAAAUGAUGAGCAUGCUAAUGCCAUGAGAAACUAAUGGAGAUGGAUUUAGUAUGAUAUAUGAACCUUAUAAUCAUGUAAAGGGACUAAAAUGUUAAGACUUGGGCUAAAAAUCAAGUUAAGAAAAGGUAUGAAACGCGAAAGAGGUACAGGACCGCGAUGCAUGUGCAUGGGUAAGUGGCGCACAUGUGUGGGAGACAUGUAGCUAUGGCUCAUGUGCGUGGGUAGAUGGCGCACAUGCAUGGGGCUACUGUCCCUUCAACACCAAGUGACGUCUUUUGCUACUUUUGAAUUGUUUUGUAGGCACCUAUGGUUAAGGGUUGUAUCAUUGAAUUUUACGCAUGAUAUACAUGAAUUUUAUGAGUUAAGAAUGCAUGAUUAACAUGAGAAAUUUAUUAUGAACAUGAUGAGUUAAGGAUGGCUUAUAUGCUUAGAUGUUUAAAUAACAUGAAUACGAAUGAUGUAGUGCUUGCAUGCCUUGAUGUUUGAGAACAAGAAUACUUGAUGAACAUAACAUGCUGAACCUUAGAAUAUCUAUGAGGAGUAUAUGUCUUGCUUUAAGUUCACAUGAUGAUUAUGAAGUAUGCUUGAUAGUUAUCAAUUUGUAUGCGAUGCAUGAGUGAUGUUGAUCGAUCGAGAAUCGAAUGUGAAACCUAAGAUGGUCGUGAUGGAAUGGAUGUGGAGGUUUUCGAUCGUGGCGGGGUCGGGCAGCAGCGUCAUGGUGCUGAUCAUCGUCAUCCAUCCACACUGUUCUGUGACAGGAUCUCAGGGAUGGUGACAUAUAGUCAGGUAAGAUAAGUGUUUUCGCCUUUUAGGAGAUUGAUUUCUGUUUAUGUUCAACAACAACCAAAGCGUGCAAGAAAGUCAUAGUUCAGUUUGGUGUGGUUUUCAAAUUCACAUUCUGCUUGGGAGAGGCUUUCGACGGUGCAUGGGAGGAUUACAGGUGGUGCUCGUAUGUCUGCGUUAUGGCUCGUUUUCCUUUCAAAGGGCAGCGCAAACGUUCAUGUAUUCCUACCGUGAUGGAGGUGCAGCCUACUGUGAUGGAGGUGGAUCCUAUUGUAAUGCAGGUGGAGCCUACAGUGAUGGAAGUGGAGAAUGCAUCAACACCGGUUGCGGUAGAUUUUGGGAGUCUUGUUGUGACUACGGUGGAGUCUGCUUUGGAUAUAGAGGGUGUGUCAGGUGGUUUGGAUGUUCCUUCUUCUUUGGCUCUUGAAGGAGAUGUUGUGGGGGUGUUCAUUGGCUAGGCCUUGGAUUCCAGAGGAGCGCAUUCCGGAUGCAUUUCUUUUUCCAGAAACCUAUGUUAGCGUAGGUGCUUCUGAAAUUCCUAUUAAUGAGAUGUUAACCUUGUUUGGCUCCGGGGGUGACUCCUCGAUGAAUGAGGAGGAUGAUUCUUCGUUUUUGGCUUUGUUCGCGAAGUCUCUGGUUGACUUGCGGUUGAUUCGAGGUGUAAGUGAUUUGUAUUAGUAUAUUAUUGAUGCUGAUCAGGAAAAAUUUUAUGUAGGGCCUGAUUCUUCUGUUGUGCUGGAUAUUAUGGAUUGGACUACCGAUGGGGUUUGGCUACCUAUGUCGUUUUUAAGGAUUUUGAGGCGAGAAUGGAUGCUUUGCGACGCGGGGACUAUGCGCCUUUUGAGAGGCGUGAUAUUCAAAUGUCUUUCUAGUGGUUUAUACCUUGAGAUAUACAUAAAUCUUUAUUGUACAUGUUGAUGUGUCACUAUGGAGGGCAGGGGCAAUGUCACAGAAAGAACAUUAAUUAAAGUGAUAAACUGUAAAACUGAUUUUAUGUUAAUGGACGUGUCAGACUGUGGGGGAAAUGUAAUGCAAAGAGAAACAAAAUUAAAGUGAUAAACAAUAAAAAAGAUUAUAUUAGCAUAACAUUUUAUGGCAACAACCCCUUACUUCGAACGAACAUUCGUCAAUGCUUGCUCACACCUCUCGAAGAAAAUGGAGAUAGAGCACUUCACAUAAGACUUAGGAGUGUGUACACUAAAAGAG
Molecule: long non-coding RNA, 2352 nt
Filed under: Lotus japonicus
Lineage: Eukaryota; Viridiplantae; Streptophyta; Magnoliopsida; Fabales; Fabaceae
Description: long non-coding RNA (LJAP_LNC002153)
Source: RNAcentral